Molecule: ribosomal RNA, 277 nt
Filed under: Siphonosoma vastum
Lineage: Eukaryota; Metazoa; Annelida; Sipuncula; Golfingiida; Sipunculidae
Description: partial 28S ribosomal RNA
Rfam family: Eukaryotic large subunit ribosomal RNA
Source: RNAcentral
CCAAGGAGUCUAACAUGUGCGCGAGUCACUGGGCCCUACGAAACCCAAAGGCGGAAUGAAAGUGAAGGCGCCCGCUCGGGUGCUUGAGGUGGGAUCCCUGCCCUCGGGGCGGGGCGCACCACCGGCCCGUCUCGCCGGCCGCGUCCGGGAGGCGGAGCGUGAGCGUACACGUUGGGACCCGAAAGAUGGUGAACUAUGCCUGAGCAGGGCGAAGCCAGAGGAAACUCUGGUGGAGGUCCGUAGCGAUUCUGACGUGCAAAUCGAUCGUCAAACUUGG